AAGAACAAUUACAAUAGACAACAAUAGAUUAUAGUAAGUAACAACAAACUCAACCCCAAAAUGUAAAACUUUUUUAAAAAAGACAUGAUUUUUAUGAAACCAUCAAAAAAGCUUUGCGCUUUUCAAACAAUGUCUUCUUCUUUGUGGGUCUCAAUGGUAACAUCAGAAGUAGGAUAAGCAGCACAAGUGAGAACAAAUCCUUCACCAAUCUGGUCGUCAUCGAGGAAACUCUGGUCAGACUGGUCAACAGAUCCAGUCACAACUUUACCGGCACAGCUCGAGCAAGAACCAGCACGGCAAGAGUAAGGAAGAUCGAUUCCGGCUUCCUCCGCCGCGUCGAGGACGUAAACGUCGUCGUCGCACUCAACCUCUUGCUCUCCUUCCGGUGUGAUAAAUUUGACCUUGUAUGUAGCCAUGGCUGUGACGCGUCCGCCGCGUGAGGUGGCUGAUUUGAGACCGAAGAGGGAUUGAGUGUUGCCUGAUGGGAGGGAACGGAGGCUGAUCGGAGCUGUUUGACGGCGGAUGAAGGAUGUUCCGACGAUGGCGCUUGAGAGAGCUGUGGAAGCCAUUUUUUCUGUGUUUUAGAUUUUUAGAUGAUUUGAGAGAUUUUUGGGUUUCUUCUCUCUGUGUUAUGGCUUGUGGAAAUGGC
This 649-nucleotide long non-coding RNA is filed under the name Eutrema salsugineum. RNAcentral's name for it is "long non-coding RNA (ESAL_LNC000187)". The record is from RNAcentral. Lineage: Eukaryota; Viridiplantae; Streptophyta; Magnoliopsida; Brassicales; Brassicaceae.